UGCCACCACUUUCAGCCACAUGUAGCCACCACCCACCAUUAUCACUAAAACAUCACAACACCAAAGGUAAUUUUUCAUGCCCCUAAUCCUAUUUUUCUUAUUUUUUCAAUCAAUAUGCUAUAUUUUUCACUUUUUUUUAUUUGGUAGAUGACAAAUUGGCCAUUUUAUUCUGACGUUAUUUAUUAAAUAAUCUGCUAUUCAAAUAGUUAUUACAUAAUAUUCACGAUAAUGCGAAUAUUUUCUAAGAAUAACUUAUAGUUGACUAAAUUAUUGUAUUUUUUUUUUGUUAUUUUUUAAUUCCUUAGACCUAGUUUUUAUAAUUUUUUAUUAAUAAUUUUAUUU
Molecule: long non-coding RNA, 342 nt
Filed under: Capsella rubella
Lineage: Eukaryota; Viridiplantae; Streptophyta; Magnoliopsida; Brassicales; Brassicaceae
Description: long non-coding RNA (CRUB_LNC002497)
Source: RNAcentral